CAACUUUCAGACUUCACUCAAUUCAGUCACCUGAUGAAGGAACUCUACUGAGGUUAUAUCGAGAUAGAAAAUAAAAAGAUGGUCAAAUGUAUCAAAGGUCCUUGAUUCAUUACUGGGAGAUGAGUUCUUAGAUUUCAGCAUGAGACUGUGAACGAGGAAAGAAGCGAUAGGUUACAAGAAGAGGAAGAACCGAGCAAUCAGCUGUGUAGACGGGCGUUAUCAGCUGGCUGGUGCAUGUUUGGUACUACGGGUGUGUUUCUCACUCACGUAUUCUAUCGAAAAUGGUUGAAAGUUCCGUCCAGAGCGAUGCUGACGACAACAAUCAGCAGGUGCCCUCGGUCGAUAUAAUUAGUGGCACAGUGGAGGCAGAGCCACAUACUAAUGGUUCAGAGGACCAUGAAGAAGAGAUCAGUGGAUGUGGGGCACAAUAUUGCUGCAAUCCAAAUUGGGGCCCUUUUAGAUUCAUUGCUUUGUUUUUCAUGUGCUUUCUUGGCUUCGGUUCUUACUUCUGUUUUGACACUCCUGGGUCUCUCCAAGACUACAUAAAGGAUGAAAUGAAAGUAGACACUGUGGCAUUUGCUAGUCUGUAUUCCCUUUACUCUUGGCCUAAUGUAGUACUGUGUUUUAUUGGAGGAUUUCUUAUUGACAGAGUUUUUGGUAUAAGGUGGGGAACAAUAAUAUUCUCAUCCAUUGUUACCGGUGGACAGUUUGUUUAUGCUCUUGGUGCACUUGUUAACCAGUUUUGGUUAAUGCAGGUUGGAAGAUUCAUAUUUGGUAUUGGUGGAGAAUCUUUGGCUGUUGCUCAGAACACCUACACAGUCAGUUGGUUUAAAGGGAAAGAACUUAACACAGUGUUUGGCUUGCAAUUGAGUAUGGCAAGAGUAGGAUCAACUGUCAAUUUUCUAUCCAUGGUGCCAUUAUAUGAGUGGGUGCAGACAUUCUCGGAAGGCUACCAAGCACUCGGUUAUUCAUUAUUAUUUGCUGGUAUCACUUGUGUUUUCUCUCUUGGAUGUGCACUAAUUUUGGGUGUCCUUGACAACAAACGCUCCAAGGUUCUGCAUCUUGAUGCAGCACAAUCUGGGGAAAAAAUCAAGCUAUCGGAUAUUUUAACUUUUCCAGCAUCAUUUUGGCUGAUCUCCAUUAUCUGUGUUGCAUAUUACGUUGCCAUUUUCCCUUUCAUUGGUUUAGCAAAAGUUUUUUUCAUGCGCAAGUAUGAUCUUGAUGCAACCACUGCCAAUUCAGUGAGCAGUGUGGUGUAUCUCAUCUCAGCCAUUGCUUCCCCAAUCCUGGGCAAUCUGGUGGAUCGCACAGGACGGAAUGUGACUUGGGUGUUCAUGGCUGUCUUGAUUACCUUGGGCUGUCAUGCUAUGCUUACAUUCACCUUCUGGAGCCCAUUUAUUUCAAUGAGUAUUUUAGGCCUGGCAUAUUCCCUGUUAGCCAGUGCCCUGUGGCCUAUGGUUGCGCUCAUCAUUCCAGAACAUCAACUUGGCACUGCUUAUGGCAUCAUGCAGAGUGUCCAGAACUUGGGCCUGGCUGUCAUUAGUAUCGUGGCUGGACUGAUUGUAGAUACAAGUGGCUACAUGAUGCUGGAAAUGUUCUACAUGAUCUGGCUUUGCAUUGCACUUGUUGCAACCAUUGCCAUAGCUCUAGUGGACAGUGGUGGCGAUGGUUAUCUUCUCAUGUCAGCAGCCACUAGAAAGAGAGACUUCCCACAUCCACCAGCAGAUGCAAAACUAAAUGAAGCCUUUGACGACAAACUUUGAAAGAAAUUUUGUUGCCUUGUUGUCUACUGUGAUAGUGUGGCUAUCAGACUCAGCUGGGAAUGGAAAACUUAAUUUAUCAGUCACCAAAAGAAACAAUCUGGAAGAAGACAAACAAUGCUUGCUCAAUUCAUAGGUCCUGCAUGAAGUCUGGUUGUGAUUUUAUUGGUGAGUCACAUGAGUCAGGAUCUGCAUAUUUACAUAAUUGUAGUAAACAUGAUUUCAGGUUGGCUCAUGUUGCUUCUUUUAUCAAAGUUACUUUCAGAUAUGAAUAUUCCUUACUCAUGCUAUAGUUGCCUUUAGAUCAUUUAUUUCUUCAUUCAUUCACUAGACCAAUGUCCAUGCAGAGUAAAACGGCCCUCUUUCUACAUACCUUGUACACAUACAUACAACUACACUCACGUAAUUAUUAGUACUCAUAUAAUUAUAACUUGCUAUCACCACAGCUAUGCUGGAAGAAUGUUGCUAUCAUAUUCUUAGCACACAGAAGAUUACUGAAAGGGAUUCAUAGGGGAAGCUGGGAACCCUCUGUAUUUUUUUUUUUUUUUUUUUUUUUUUUUUUCACUUAGACAAGAUAA
Molecule: unclassified non-coding RNA, 2338 nt
Filed under: Portunus trituberculatus (swimming crab)
Lineage: Eukaryota; Metazoa; Arthropoda; Malacostraca; Decapoda; Portunidae
Description: major facilitator superfamily domain-containing protein 1-like, transcript variant X6
Source: RNAcentral